This 41-nucleotide transfer RNA is filed under the name Psathyromyia shannoni. RNAcentral's name for it is "partial tRNA-Ser". Lineage: Eukaryota; Metazoa; Arthropoda; Insecta; Diptera; Psychodidae. The record is from RNAcentral.
GUUAAUAAGCUUAAAUAGCAAUUGUUUUGAAAACAUUAGAU